This 400-nucleotide ribosomal RNA is filed under the name Rhizobiales bacterium HU-1. Its description in RNAcentral is "bacterial SSU rRNA". It matches the Rfam family "Bacterial small subunit ribosomal RNA", at positions 1026 to 1427 of the family's 1533-position model. Lineage: Bacteria; Pseudomonadati; Pseudomonadota; Alphaproteobacteria; Hyphomicrobiales. The record is from RNAcentral.
GAAUGGACACAGGUGCUGCAUGGCUGUCGUCAGCUCGUGUCGUGAGAUGUUGGGUUAAGUCCCGCAACGAGCGCAACCCUCGCCCUUAGUUGCCAUCAUUCAGUUGGGCACUCUAAGGGGACUGCCGGUGAUAAGCCGAGAGGAAGGUGGGGAUGACGUCAAGUCCUCAUGGCCCUUACGGGCUGGGCUACACACGUGCUACAAUGGUGGUGACAGUGGGCAGCGAGGCCGCGAGGCCGAGCUAAUCUCCAAAAGCCAUCUCAGUUCGGAUUGCACUCUGCAACUCGGGUGCAUGAAGUUGGAAUCGCUAGUAAUCGUGGAUCAGCAUGCCACGGUGAAUACGUUCCCGGGCCUUGUACACACCGCCCGUCACACCAUGGGAGUUGGUUUUACCCGAAGG